RNAcentral lists this transfer RNA (97 nucleotides) under Actinotalea fermentans. RNAcentral's name for it is "tRNA-Pro". The record is from RNAcentral. Lineage: Bacteria; Bacillati; Actinomycetota; Actinomycetes; Micrococcales; Cellulomonadaceae.
UGCCGCCCCUGGUCAUGGGCGCGGGCGGCGUCGUCCGGCUCGACGAGGCGGGCGGACCGCUCGUCGGCUUCGGCUCCGGCGGCCGGGGGACGGCGAC